AUCAAAUCCUAGAUGCAGUAAAUUGCAUCCAUCAACGCCUCCAAAGCUUCACAGUCAUAUACCUCUUCAUGGUUCCACAUUUCAUUCAGUAACAUUAGGCAGUUUUGAUUUAUAUGCUACUUAAUGUUUGAUGAUCACUUUUUUUUUUUUUACAUGUGCAUAAGCAAUGCUUCUACUGCUUGUUUCUGCUUCUUCUUCGCCUGUGUUUUGAUCAGGAGAUUCUGUACUCUUUCAGAAGAUGCGUGAUAGCGCCCCCUACCUAUAACAGUGAAAGCAUGGAUUGCCGGAAAAUUCCAUCAGUGGCGAGGAAAGAGGGGCGACUUGGAGUAAUUGUCCUCCAAACCAUCAGGAAGCAGCAGUGAGAAGAAGUAAGGUGCUCAAAACUUCAAGUAUCUUUGGCAGGACUCAGAAGGGGCUGUCAACAGUAGUGCUGCAAACUCCAAAAAGGUUACUGACUGACUUUUCCCAUGUAGCAGUGGGUGCAGCGCGACAGAUGCCCCUGCCAGUUUUGGUGCCUGGGCCCCGUCAGCUGCCAGCAGGCCCCUAAUCCUUCCUAAUGGGGAUUGUCUUUUCACCGCUAAUUUAAACCCUCAAACCACGGGACUGCCUCAACCUGAAAGCGUUCAAUCCCAGCAGCCCUCCACUACCCCACAGCCCCUCACCCCUUCGCUGGGCCCAAGCUCCACUCAGGCCUGGGGCCCUCCAAUGCCUCUGCAACAACACCACCUUUCUGUCAUUCCACAUGCUGAUUGUAUUAAUCUUAUCUCCGUUUAAUUACAUUUUUCAGGACUCUUGCCGUCUGCCAUCUUUGCUCGCAGUGGGAGUUACUGAGAGGCCCUCAUUUCACAUGCCAUCUCAUUUGGGUUCAAAAAUCCCUGACACAAGACACCCGACCUCACUGAAAAGAUGGAAAAAAAAGUGAUUUAUUAAAAGCGUGAAGUUGAACACAAAACUUUUCAUGUUUACAUGCAAAUAUGUUAGAAAUGGGAAUCAUAAGGAAAUUUCUGAUUACACUUAACCCAUUACAUAAAGAUUUCAUACACAGUUCUUUUAAUACUUUUGAAGAAACUCUUACCCCAAUAAUUGGUCCUAUAGUAAACAAAUAUUUUUUAUGCCAACACAUCCAGCCAUCCAUCCAUCCAGAUGUCUGAAACUUUGUAUACAUUUCUGCUGUUUAUUGCCUCCUUAAGAUGAACCACUUGUUGUAUUCCUUAUUUGUAAGUCGCUUUGGAUAAAAGUGUCUGCUAACUGAAUAAAUGUAAAUACUAUAACCUAACCCUAACCCAUAUCCUAACAGAAAACUUUAUUUUCUGUUAGGAUAUGGGUUUUCCCAAGGAUGUGUUCACACUUAGCAGGCUUGGUUUGAUUAAAAUGAACCCUGGUACGAUUGCUUUGUUAGUGCGGUUCUUUGGAAUAAGUGUGAACGCUGCCAUCCGAAUGCUGGUGCACACCAAACAAGCGAGACGAGACCCACCAUUUCAAUGGGACUCGGUCCACUUCCAAACGAACUGUGGUGCGAUUCAACUGAAAUAGGAACGGAACAUGGACCAAAAACAUCACUUUAUAAAUGAACGCGUAAAUGCUGACUUCAGUAACCUCCGUGUUUACUUCCGUAUAAUUCCGUGCUGCGCUGUCUUUGUUAUUUUUCUUUUGCGCAUGUGGGUCAGUUCAGGAUUGUGCCAGAAUUGUGUGUUAUAAAGUCAGAAUUGUGUGAUUAGCCUCUGGUUUCACAGAGAUGGCUUAAGCUAAUCCUAGACUAAAAUGCACGGUUGAAUUGUGUGAUAUGAAGUCAGAAUUGCGAGAUAUAAAGUCAGAAUUACGUGUUAUAAAGUCAGAGUUGUGAGAUAUAAAGUCAGAAUUGCGAGAUAUAAGGUCAGAAUUGCGAGUUAUAAAUUCAGAAUUGUGUGAUAUAAAGUCAGAAUUGCGAGAUAUAAAGUCAGAAUUGCGUGAUAUAAAAUCAGAUUUGCGAGAUA
Long non-coding RNA from Ctenopharyngodon idella (grass carp), 1973 nucleotides. RefSeq lists it as uncharacterized. The transcript is spliced from 3 exons. NCBI's taxonomy places the organism in Eukaryota, Metazoa, Chordata, Actinopteri, Cypriniformes, Xenocyprididae. The record is from RefSeq and is a predicted model, not a curated record.